GCCUCUGUAGCAUAGCGGCUAAUGCGUCGGUUUUGUAAACCGAAGAUCGGGGGUUCAAAUCCCCCCAGAGGCU
This 73-nucleotide transfer RNA is filed under the name Candidatus Woesearchaeota archaeon. RNAcentral describes it as "tRNA-Thr". It matches the Rfam family "tRNA". Rfam says of the family: Transfer RNA (tRNA) molecules are approximately 80 nucleotides in length. Their secondary structure includes four short double-helical elements and three loops (D, anti-codon, and T loops). Further hydrogen bonds mediate the characteristic L-shaped molecular structure. tRNAs have two regions of fundamental functional importance: the anti-codon, which is responsible for specific mRNA codon recognition, and the 3' end, to which the tRNAs corresponding amino acid is attached (by aminoacyl-tRNA synthetases). tRNAs cope with the degeneracy of the genetic code in two manners: having more than one tRNA (with a specific anti-codon) for a particular amino acid; and 'wobble' base-pairing, i.e. permitting non-standard base-pairing at the 3rd anti-codon position. The record is from RNAcentral. Lineage: Archaea; Nanobdellati; Candidatus Woesearchaeota.